This 248-nucleotide ribosomal RNA is filed under the name uncultured bacterium. RNAcentral describes it as "partial 16S ribosomal RNA". It matches the Rfam family "Bacterial small subunit ribosomal RNA", at positions 109 to 353 of the family's 1533-position model. The record is from RNAcentral.
AGUAAUGUCUGGGAAACUGCCUGAUGGAGGGGGGAGUAACUACUGGAAACGGUAGCUAAUACCGCAUAAACGUCGCAAGACCAAAAGAGGGGGGACCUUCGGGGCCUCUUGCCAUCGGAUGUGCCAGAUGGGAUUAGCUAGUAGGUGGGGUAACGGCUCACCUAGGCGACGAUCCCUAGCUGGUCUGAGAGGAUGACCAGCCACACUGGAACUGAGACACGGUCCAGACUCCUACGGGAGGCAGCAUG